UGUGCCUGAAACAGUGUCUGUAAAUUGAACCAUCAAAAAGCAAGGGAAUUAGCUGUGACAUUUUCCACUAUCAUUUUGCUGCUGCAGAUGUUUCAGAUUUCAUUUCAGGUUUCAUAUUUUUGGAUAAUGGCUCAACCUGUGCCUUCAAUCUGGAAUUGUACAAGGCAGAUAAAGAGUGUAUCCAACAACGUGCCUCUCACUAGCUGUGUUUUCUGAACAGCAUGAAUUGUGCAGUUUAUCAUGAAGUGCAUGGUGAACGGAUGUCGUGUGGCGAACAGAUGUCGUGUGGCAUAGUGUCUCUGACUCCCAAAGGCCAUGCAAUGGAGGGGUCGCACCGGCCAGAGGCAGGUGUGAAGCGGGGGAAGAGAAGAUAUUUCCGUGUGAUUAAAGCUUUCUAAAGCCCCACCCUGAAUAUGGUGUCACCAUUUCAGAAAGGAAACCCCCACCCUCCAUCCUUCAUCCAUUCACCUGGCAAGACCACCUGGGACACCCUUGUGAGGCUAUUGAGUCCCCUCCAACCCUCGACUCAGCACGAGAAAGCUCGUAGCAGCCAGAAUAAAGACAAAUGAAGAAUUCAAAAGUAAUAAAAAACGAGACUUCUAAGAAAAUAGAAGAGCUAAUGAAAGUAGGUUCCGAUGUUGAAUUGUUGCUCAGAACAUCUGUUAUACAAGGUAUUCACACAGACCACAAUACACUGCAAUUGGUUCCUAGGAAAGACCUUCUUAUAGAAAAUGUGCCAUAUUGUGAUGCACCAACUCAGAAGCAGUGAAUUUUUUAUGAUAAGACAAGUCUUUGUACUUUUUAACUUUAAAAUAUAUAACUCUGGCAAAAGGUCUGGGAAAUGUAGACAUUUUUCUCUGAACUGGCAUGUUGAAAAUGAAUGAAUUAGAGAACAGCUUCAUAUUUAAAUUUCAUGGUAAAAGGACAUUGCUGAGAAGUGUAGAAAUAGUUAAGUAUUUCUAAAGGAAAAUAGACAAGAAGACAUUUCCUUUUCAUUGAAAAUCAAACUUUAUAAAGUAAAAUAAAUGCUUAGAGAAAUACAUUCACUUCUCUUUGACCUUAAUUAAUAUUUGGGCUUACAAUAACUAUGUGAGAAUACAGUGUUUUGACAAGUUGGUGAGUUUUUCUCUCAUGUGAAAUGCAAUUAUUAGAUUUAAAUUAUUAGAUUAAAUUGAUAUUUAGUCCCUAAAAUUUUCAACUCGUCAAAAAAUCACGUGUGUACCAGUUCGCCACAGAAGGUAGCCUUUGUUUCCUAAAGCACUGGAAUUAUUUCUGUAGCUAACAAAUAAUUGUACAGUUUCUUUUUAAAGAUAGAAUCUCUGUGUUCUUAUAAAGAUUUUUUUAUCAGUCUUCUGAAAAUAGAGGAAUAAAAUAUCAAAUCUCCUAGGGUCACUAUGGAAUAAAGAAAUCCCAAAGUUUUUAGGAAAUAGUGGCCCUUGAGCAAUCUAUAUAAUAUGACCUUACUAGAAUUGGCUGUAUGUAGACCAAGUUAGAUUUUAUUGUGAAAAUGUAAUUUAUGGCUCCAUUCUCUUUGUUUUAAUCAGUGAAACGUCAGUGGCUUCUUUUCUUCCACGUGUCCCGCCCCUGAUGAGAUGGGCAGAAAGGGGUUGGCGUUCUACCGUCUAAUUCUAGGAACCAUAAAAUCGUAUUUAAUAUUCUUCUUGUUUCUUUUUUAUUUGUUGUCAAAGCAUACUGGUAUAUCCUUGCUGGGUAUGAUAUAUCAUGUUUGGAAGUAAUUUAAUUUUAGAUCAAAAACUUAUCAGAAUUAUUGAGACGUUAAACUACAGUCUCCCCUUAAUGCCUCCUAAUAAUUUUGA
This is a long non-coding RNA of Lemur catta (Ring-tailed lemur), 1817 nucleotides long. RefSeq lists it as uncharacterized. The record is from RefSeq and is a predicted model, not a curated record. Lineage: Eukaryota; Metazoa; Chordata; Mammalia; Primates; Lemuridae. The transcript has 5 exons.